This 75-nucleotide transfer RNA is filed under the name bacterium. Its description in RNAcentral is "tRNA-Thr". It matches the Rfam family "tRNA". Rfam says of the family: Transfer RNA (tRNA) molecules are approximately 80 nucleotides in length. The record is from RNAcentral.
GCCGAUGUAGCUCAGUGGUAGAGCAACGCUUUCGUAAAGCGUGGGUCAGAGGUUCAAAUCCUCUCAUCGGCUCCA